This 65-nucleotide non-coding RNA is filed under the name Paenibacillus polymyxa. RNAcentral's name for it is "partial 16S ribosomal RNA". It matches the Rfam family "Bacterial small subunit ribosomal RNA", at positions 1 to 65 of the family's 1533-position model. The record is from RNAcentral. RNAcentral also lists the same sequence under 6 other names. Lineage: Bacteria; Bacillati; Bacillota; Bacilli; Caryophanales; Paenibacillaceae.
UUAAUGGAGAGUUUGAUCCUGGCUCAGGACGAACGCUGGCGGCGUGCCUAAUACAUGCAAGUCGA